RNAcentral lists this unclassified non-coding RNA (157 nucleotides) under uncultured Ascomycota. RNAcentral describes it as "sequence contains ITS2". The record is from RNAcentral. Lineage: Eukaryota; Fungi; Ascomycota.
UACACCAUCAAGCACCGCUUGGCAUUGGGCCUCGUCCCCGCUGUGGACGGGCCCUGAAACCCUUGGCGAUGGCGUGUGGGCCUCAAGCGUAGUAGAACUCUAUCCCGCUUACAGAGGCCCUGCGACGUUCGCUUCCAAAGACCCAAUUCAACAAAGG